AAAUUGAAGAGUUUGAUCAUGGCUCAGAUUGAACGCUGGCGGCAGGCCUAACACAUGCAAGUCGAACGGUAACAGGAAGCAGCUUGCUGCUUCGCUGACGAGUGGCGGACGGGUGAGUAAUGUCUGGGAAACUGCCUGAUGGAGGGGGAUAACUACUGGAAACGGUGGCUAAUACCGCAUAACGUCGCAAGACCAAAGAGGGGGACCUUCGGGCCUCUUGCCAUCAGAUGUGCCCAGAUGGGAUUAGCUUGUUGGUGAGGUAACGGCUCACCAAGGCGACGAUCCCUAGCUGGUCUGAGAGGAUGACCAGCCACACUGGAACUGAGACACGGUCCAGACUCCUACGGGAGGCAGCAGUGGGGAAUAUUGCACAAUGGGCGCAAGCCUGAUGCAGCCAUGCCGCGUGUAUGAAGAAGGCCUUCGGGUUGUAAAGUACUUUCAGCGGGGAGGAAGGUGUUGUGGUUAAUAACCGCAGCAAUUGACGUUACCCGCAGAAGAAGCACCGGCUAACUCCGUGCCAGCAGCCGCGGUAAUACGGAGGGUGCAAGCGUUAAUCGGAAUUACUGGGCGUAAAGCGCACGCAGGCGGUCUGUCAAGUCGGAUGUGAAAUCCCCGGGCUCAACCUGGGAACUGCAUUCGAAACUGGCAGGCUUGAGUCUUGUAGAGGGGGGUAGAAUUCCAGGUGUAGCGGUGAAAUGCGUAGAGAUCUGGAGGAAUACCGGUGGCGAAGGCGGCCCCCUGGACAAAGACUGACGCUCAGGUGCGAAAGCGUGGGGAGCAAACAGGAUUAGAUACCCGGUAGUCCACGCCGUAAACGAUGUCUACUUGGAGGUUGUGCCCUUGAGGCGUGGCUUCCGGAGCUAACGCGUUAAGUAGACCGCCUGGGGAGUACGGCCGCAAGGUUAAAACUCAAAUGAAUUGACGGGGGCCCGCACAAGCGGUGGAGCAUGUGGUUUAAUUCGAUGCAACGCGAAGAACCUUACCUGGUCUUGACAUCCACAGAACUUUCCAGAGAUGGAUUGGUGCCUUCGGGAACUGUGAGACAGGUGCUGCAUGGCUGUCGUCAGCUCGUGUUGUGAAAUGUUGGGUUAAGUCCCGCAACGAGCGCAACCCUUAUCCUUUGUUGCCAGCGGUUAGGCCGGGAACUCAAAGGAGACUGCCAGUGAUAAACUGGAGGAAGGUGGGGAUGACGUCAAGUCAUCAUGGCCCUUACGACCAGGGCUACACACGUGCUACAAUGGCGCAUACAAAGAGAAGCGACCUCGCGAGAGCAAGCGGACCUCAUAAAGUGCGUCGUAGUCCGGAUUGGAGUCUGCAACUCGACUCCAUGAAGUCGGAAUCGCUAGUAAUCGUGGAUCAGAAUGCCACGGUGAAUACGUUCCCGGGCCUUGUACACACCGCCCGUCACACCAUGGGAGUGGGUUGCAAAGAAGUAGGUAGCUUAACCUUCGGGAGGGCGCUUACCACUUUGUGAUUCAUGACUGGGGUGAAGUCGUAACAAGGUAACCGUAGGGGAACCUGCGGUUGAUCACCUCCUUACCUUAAAGAAGC
Molecule: ribosomal RNA, 1551 nt
Filed under: Salmonella enterica subsp. enterica serovar Adjame
Lineage: Bacteria; Pseudomonadati; Pseudomonadota; Gammaproteobacteria; Enterobacterales; Enterobacteriaceae
Description: bacterial SSU rRNA
Rfam family: Bacterial small subunit ribosomal RNA
Source: RNAcentral